This 1147-nucleotide ribosomal RNA is filed under the name Ilyoplax ningpoensis. RNAcentral describes it as "partial 16S ribosomal RNA". The record is from RNAcentral. Lineage: Eukaryota; Metazoa; Arthropoda; Malacostraca; Decapoda; Dotillidae.
AUUAUCGAUAUCUUGCUGAAAAUUGAAGUUGAUCUUGUGGUUAGAAAAAUAAUUUAAAGUUAAGUAAUUUGAGGUGAAAAGAAACUUAAUGGGCUAAAGUUUAAAGUACUGUAAAGGAAAGAAUAAAAAUAAAUUCUUAAUAGAAAGUUUAAGUUGCUGUACCUUUUGUAUUAGGGGGUGUUAAUAUAAGUUAAUUAAUUUAGUUAUCUCGAAAUAAAAACAGUUAAUUUUAUAAAAUUUUUUUUGUAGAAUAAAAAUGUUGAAUAUAAAUUUAAAGAUGAAAUGUCAGUCGAGUUUUAUAAUAUCUAGUUUUUUUAGAUAUAAAUUUAAUUUAGGUUUUAUGUUGAUAAGAUUUAAAAUCAAAAUAUAGGAGGGAGUAGCUUCUUAUAUAUUUUAUUGAAGAGUUAAAUAUAAAAAGAAUGUUUGAAUUAGGCUUUAAAGUAGCUAUAGUAAUAAAGUGUUUUAACUAAGUAUAAUGUUUAAUAAUAUUUGUAUUUACUUUUAAGUAAUAUAAAAAAAUUGAUUAAGAUAAAAUAAAUUAAGAUAUAAUGAUUUUAUUAGUAGAGUUGUAUUGUAAAAGGAAAUAUUAUAAUAACAAAAGUGUUUUAUAGAAUAAUAUGGAGAUAUAAAGGAACUCGGCAAAUAUUUUUCUUGCCUGUUUAUCAAAAACAUGUCUGUUUGGAGGUAUAAGAAGUCUGGCCUGCCCACUGAUAAAGUUUAAAGGGCCGCGGUAUAUUGACCGUGCGAAGGUAGCAUAAUCGUUAGGUUUUUAAUUGAAAUCUAGAAUGAAUGGUUUGACAAAGAAAAAGCUGUCUUUAUGUUUAAUAAUUGAAUUUAACUUUUAAGUGAAAAGGCUUAAAUAAAUUAAAGGGACGAUAAGACCCUAUAAAACUUAAUGUGAUAUUUAAAUUAAGUUAAAAUUUAAAAAUUAAAGAUUUAGUUAAAGUUUCGCAUUAUAUUGGGGCGAUAAAUAUAAAAUGUUUAGUAGCUGUAAAAAGUUAAAGACAAAGAUAAAUGAGUAGAGUGGUUAAAUGAUCCUGAUUAAAGAUUAUAAGUUUAAGUUACUUUAGGGAUAACAGCGUUAUUUUUUUUGAGAGUUCUUAUCGAAAAAAAAGUUUGCGACCUCGAUGUUGAAUUAAAAUUUCUA